CAAACCACCCCUUGGAGUCAUGUAUUUUUUGAUAGUUAAGAUUGAAUGAAUGAAUGAAUCCUGAGAGGUUGCCUUUUUCUACACAUUAGAAACUCAGAGUUAGAAAGAAGCAUAAGGAUUGGGUGGUCAGUUCUCAAUCCUUCUAGAGCGUCUAGUCUAGCUUGAACACCUUGAAUGAUGAAGGACUCAUCUUCCACAACAAUCUGUUCCUUUGUCUUUUAGCACAGAUGAUUAGAACUUUCUUGUUUUGUUAAGCCAAUUUCUGUUUUCCUUCAAUAGAUCCAAGUUGUCCUCAGUAUGACCAAUACAAGAAAUACUCAGCAGAACAUCUGACAGCUAAUGGAUAUUCAGCAGAGAUGAAGUGCAUUUACUGACUUGCAGGAACCCCAGAACAAACAGAGUCACCUGAGAACGGCUUUAGACCAGUGGUUCUCAAACUUGAAUUUAUAUCAGAAUCAUCUGGAAGGCUUGUUGAACCACAGAUUGUUGAAACCCAUCCCUGGAGCUGAUAGUUUGGUAAGUCUGGGGUAGCAUCUCAAGAUUUGGACUUCUAAUAUUUUCUCACAUGUGGCCUGUGG
This is a long non-coding RNA of Cercocebus atys (sooty mangabey), 578 nucleotides long. RefSeq lists it as uncharacterized. The transcript is spliced from 3 exons. NCBI's taxonomy places the organism in Eukaryota, Metazoa, Chordata, Mammalia, Primates, Cercopithecidae. The record is from RefSeq and is a predicted model, not a curated record.